GUAGGGAAUAUUGGGCAAUGGGCGAGAGCCUGACCCAGCCAUGCCGCGUGGAGGAAGACGGCGCUCAGCGUUGUAAACUCCUUUUGACUGGGAAGAACGGCAGACCUGCGGGUUUGUGUGACGGUACCAGCAGAAUAAGCACCGGCUAACUCCGUGCCAGCAGCCGCGGUAAUACGGAGGGUGCAAGCGUUGUCCGGAUUUAUUGGGUUUAAAGGGUGCGUAGGUGGAAGCUUAAGUCUGAUUUGAAAGCUGGCUGCUCAACAGUCAGAUGUGGUUGGAAACUGGGUUUCUUGAAUGGGUUGGCGGUAGCUGGAACGGGUCAUGUAGCGGUGAAAUGCAUAGAGAUGACCCAGAACACCGAUUGCGAAGGCAGGCUACUAGGACCACAAUUGACACUGAGGCACGAGAGCAUGGGUAGCCAACAGG
This 426-nucleotide ribosomal RNA is filed under the name uncultured Spirosoma sp. RNAcentral describes it as "bacterial SSU rRNA". It matches the Rfam family "Bacterial small subunit ribosomal RNA", at positions 354 to 776 of the family's 1533-position model. Lineage: Bacteria; Pseudomonadati; Bacteroidota; Cytophagia; Cytophagales; Cytophagaceae. The record is from RNAcentral.